RNAcentral lists this ribosomal RNA (405 nucleotides) under uncultured bacterium. RNAcentral describes it as "bacterial SSU rRNA". It matches the Rfam family "Bacterial small subunit ribosomal RNA", at positions 355 to 776 of the family's 1533-position model. The record is from RNAcentral.
UGGGGAAUCUUGCACAAUGGGCGAAAGCCUGAUGCAGCGAUUCCGCGUGGAGGAUGACGCAUUACGGUGUGUAAACUCCUUUUUUGGUGGAAGACGAAUGACGGUACACCAAGAAUAAGGGACGGCUAACUACGUGCCAGCAGCCGCGGUAAUACGUAGGUCCCAAGCGUUAUCCGGAUUUACUGGGCGUAAAGUGUCCGUAGCCGGAUAUACAAGUCUGUUUUCAAAUACCACGACUCAAUCGUGGAAAGGGAAUAGAUACUGUAUAUCUAGAGAAUAUUGGAGGUUAGUGGAAUUUCCGGUGGAGCGGUGAAAUGCGUUGAUAUCGGAAAGAACGCCGAAAGCGAAAGCAGCUAACUAUGAUAUUUCUGACGGUGAUGGACGAAAGCUUGAGUAGCAAACGGG